UACGUAGGUGGCAAGCGUUGUCCGGAAUUAUUGGGCGUAAAGCGCGCGCAGGUGGUUCCUUAAGUCUGAUGUGAAAGCCCACGGCUCAACCGUGGAGGGUCAUUGGAAACUGGGGAACUUGAGUGCAGAAGAGGAAAGUGGAAUUCCAAGUGUAGCGGUGAAAUGCGUAGAGAUUUGGAGGAACACCAGUGGCGAAGGCGACUUUCUGGACAGAAACUGACGCUGAUGCGCGAAAGCUAGGGGAGCAAACAGG
This 253-nucleotide ribosomal RNA is filed under the name uncultured bacterium. RNAcentral's name for it is "partial 16S ribosomal RNA". It matches the Rfam family "Bacterial small subunit ribosomal RNA", at positions 524 to 776 of the family's 1533-position model. The record is from RNAcentral.